Molecule: ribosomal RNA, 119 nt
Organism: Chelonoidis abingdonii (Abingdon island giant tortoise)
Lineage: Eukaryota; Metazoa; Chordata; Testudines; Testudinidae
Source: Ensembl
AGUGACAGACUUGCCACCCUGGUUGCACCCAAUCUCAUCUGCACUAAGAAAAUAAACAGGGAUGGGCCUGGUUAAUGCUUGGGUAGGACACCGUGUGGGAAGACUGUGUGCUGUAGGUU